AUUUGACCUCAAAUCAGGUAGGAGUACCCGCUGAACUUAAGCAUAUCAAUAAGCGGAGGAAAAGAAAAUAACAAUGAUUCCCCUAGUAACUGCGAGUGAAGAGGGACAAGCUCAAAUUUUAAAUCUGUUAGGUUUACCUAACCGAGUUGUAAUUUGAAGAGGCGUUUUCUGUGUUUCUGAUCAGCCCAAGUCCUUUGGGAUAGGGCAUCAUGGAGGGUGAGAAUCCCGUUCGGUUGGUCAGAUUCGCUUUACGAUACGUCAUCUAAGAGUCAAGUUGUUUGGGAUUGCAGCUUAAAAUGGGAGGUAAAUUUCUCCUAAGGCUAAAUAACGGCGAGAGACCGAUAGCGAACAAGUACCGUGAGGGAAAGAUGAAAAGAACUUUGAAAAGAGAGUUAAACAGUACGUGAAAUUGUUGAAAGGGAAACGAUUGAAGCCAGUCGUACCUUCGGGUAAUCGGCCUUUCGGGUGCGAUUCUGUGGAGCGUGAGGAGUUAAACGCCUUCAUGCCUGCAUAUUCGUGCACUUUGGGUGUACUUGCCCGUGUGGUAGGUUAACAUCAAUUUCGGAUAUCAUAAAAUGGCUGGAGGAAUGUAGCUUCGGUCUCGUACUGAAGUGUUAUAGCCUCUGGUAGAUGUGAUGACCGGGAUUGAGGAUUGCAACGAAUACCUUUUGGGCUACCCGCCUGAUCUCUGAAAGUUGCUCUGGUGCCGAAAGCUUGCUUACGGUUAUCAAAGUUGACGUUCAAAAGGUUAGAACGGGUUAAAUUCGUUAAGGAUGUUGACGUAAUGGCUUUAAACGACCCGUCUUGAAACACGGACCAAGGAGUCUAACAUAUGUGCGAGUGUUU
This 846-nucleotide ribosomal RNA is filed under the name Rhizophagus intraradices. Its description in RNAcentral is "eukaryotic LSU rRNA". It matches the Rfam family "Eukaryotic large subunit ribosomal RNA", at positions 1 to 695 of the family's 3401-position model. The record is from RNAcentral. Lineage: Eukaryota; Fungi; Glomeromycota; Glomeromycetes; Glomerales; Glomeraceae.